CCUGGAGCGGCUCGGGAGAGCGGAGGGUCGGCGAGGGUGCCUGCGCGCGGCUGGGCCUGGGGAUGCAGGUUCCAGCCUGCUUGCGCGUCUCACCUGAUUUAGGAGCUUCCAGAGGCCCCAGACAGUGCCUGUCUUUGCCUGACCGCGAAUCAAAGUUCCAUAGCCCGUGAGCGAAGGUUUUGGCAAUUAUGAAUCAAGCAAUUAUGAAUCAAACAACCCAGAAAUCCAACCACCCACUCCAGGCAUCUUUGCAUGAACGUAUCAAAAACACCUCAGUCCCAAUGCCCAGGAUCUUCCCCUUUGAGAGGCUGAGAUGGGUGGAUCACUUGAGCCCAGGAAUUGGAGACCAGCCUGGGCAAUAUGGUGAAACCCCAUCUCUACUAAAAUAAAUACAAAAAAUUAGCCAGGUGUGGUGGCACGUGCCUGUAGUCCCAGCUACUCAGGAGACUGAGGUGGGAGAAUCGCUUGAGCCAGGGAGAUCGAAGCUGCCG
This 491-nucleotide long non-coding RNA is filed under the name Homo sapiens (human). RNAcentral's name for it is "HSALNT0183373". The record is from RNAcentral. Lineage: Eukaryota; Metazoa; Chordata; Mammalia; Primates; Hominidae.